Long non-coding RNA from Dermacentor silvarum, 484 nucleotides. RefSeq lists it as uncharacterized. The record is from RefSeq and is a predicted model, not a curated record. The transcript has 3 exons. NCBI's taxonomy places the organism in Eukaryota, Metazoa, Arthropoda, Arachnida, Ixodida, Ixodidae.
GUCGAGAUAACAUCCGCGUCUCUUUCCGUGAAAAUAAUGUUCUCACGGCUCCCGUCGAAAUAACGACAGGGAACAACUCGCUUGGUCUGCUUAGUUUCGUCUAGUUUCGUCUGUUCCAUGCGCCGUUAUGACAUGAUGGCCCGAGUUGCUGACUGAUCUUUCUUCAGCGGGAGAACAAUUGAUGUAAGAGCGCAGGAUUUUUCCGGGCCGUUAUGAGACGCCGCCGGUGACUCCUCAGCCCGUGUCGCAGCUGCCAGCACCGAUUUUUCCAGCGCAGCCAUCAUGGCAGGUCGGGGUGCGAGGGAGAAUGGAAGACCUGGACACCCGUCGGACACCUUCCAGCUGGAAGCACCGGAGAGUGCCGAGGAAGACGAGCACGGCUACGUCCACCCGUCUCGACUUGACGUAGGUGGCCCGGAGGCGCGACGGCCCAGCGUCCCCUUCCACACCCGCAACCUCAUCCGGCAGCUGCCCUCACGGAAUC